UGGGGAAUAUUGCACAAUGGGGGAAACCCUGAUGCAGCGACGCCGCGUGAACGAUGAAGUAUUUCGGUAUGUAAAGUUCUAUCAGCAGGGAAGAUAAUGACGGUACCUGACUAAGAAGCACCGGCUAAAUACGUGCCAGCAGCCGCGGUAAUACGUAUGGUGCAAGCGUUAUCCGGAUUUACGUGGGUGUAAAGGGUGCGUAGGUGGCAUGGCAAGUCUGAAGUGAAAUGCGGGGCUCAACCCCUGAACUGCUUUGGAAACUGUCAGGCUAGAGUGCAGGAGAGGAAAGCGGAAUUCCUAGUGUAGCGGUGAAAUGCGUAGAUAUUAGGAGGAACA
This 336-nucleotide ribosomal RNA is filed under the name uncultured Lachnospiraceae bacterium. RNAcentral's name for it is "bacterial SSU rRNA". It matches the Rfam family "Bacterial small subunit ribosomal RNA", at positions 355 to 708 of the family's 1533-position model. The record is from RNAcentral. Lineage: Bacteria; Bacillati; Bacillota; Clostridia; Lachnospirales; Lachnospiraceae.